AGAAUGGAUGAGCAAUGGGGUCUUACUGUAUAGCACAGGGAAGUGUAUCCAAUAUUUUGUAGAACAUAGAACAUGAUGAACAUGAUAGAACAUGAUGGAAGAUAGUAUAAAAAAAGAAUGUGUGCAUGUAUAUAUAUAUGUAUAUAUAUAUAUAUAUAUAUAUAUAUANACCCCACCACAAAACCUCUUGUGUGAGUUUUGUUUUGAAUGCCUUCUCCCUUCCUGAGACUCUUCUUUGUUCCUGAGCAUUUUGUGCUAUUACUGGAGACUAACCAAAGCCUCUGUGAUGAUCUGCGGUAUGACAGUGGGGCACAGACACUGUUCAUUGUCAGUCGUCUUCAUCCAUAGUUUGUUCAGGGUAUGUGAAGGAAUAGCCCUGUGCAUGUUUUAGAAUUUCUGGUUAGGGGUCUGAGGGAAGGACCCACUGCAGCCUACCGUAGAUGAUCAUUGUCAUAUCAGGUGGCACUAAUUCAGAGGUGACACAAUAGACUGGCAUUUCCCAGAUCUGCCGGAAUGGGUGACUAACUCUCUGGACUUAAUACUCUAAGAAAUGGAAGAAACUUUCAAACUUUCAUCUUUAUAUGACAGUCAGAGGUAUGUCCUGGUGUGGAAUUUAUAAUCAAGAUUAACAUUCUGGGGCACAGGAAUAGGCAUGGCUCAACAUUGCAGUCAGCUCUCAUGGUUUCUGUGGCAUGGAUCCAGACAUGGCAUGGGAAAGGUUUGCCUCUGCUCCAUGAUGCCAGGGCUCUAGCCAGAGGUCUCAAAGGCCAGGGCCUGGCAUUGUAGGAAGGCAUGUGUCUUGCAGUUGAUGCUGGUCAGCUGGAGCCUCACUGGGGCUGCUGUCUGGGGCACCCACAUGGGGCCUCCUCAUGGGGCCUGCAUUUCCUCCCAACACGGCUGCCAGGCCCCAAAGGCAAGCAUCCUGCGGGGAAGGUGGGAGCUGCAUUGCAUCUUAUGACCCAGCAUCGCUUCCACCCUCCUACUGAGUUUAAAUGGGGGGACCUAGACCCCACUUAACAGUACAGGUGUGUCAUCACUGCCUUUUAAGGAAGGGGGCAGGAUACAGAAGCGUGGCCAUCCUUGGAAAACAUCGUCCACCCGGUGCCUGGGGACCACAGCUCUGCACACCACAUCCCCUCCCAUAUGUCAGUAAGCUCCCUUCCUGCCCCAAGACCUGUUAAAUCUCACCUCACAAAACCUUCAGCUCAGAAUCCAGGGCCUCACCAUCUAAAUCAGAUUCAGGUGCAGAAGGGGCAUCUCUGGUGUGGUUUUGUAUAGCUCCCCUAGUACACAGCUCCUCAGUCUGAAGACCUGGGAGCUAAGGGACAAGUUAUCUGCCCCCCGCCCCAUACACACACAGUGAUGGGACAGGCGUCAGCAAAGCUGCGUACAGAGCCGCCUAUUCAGGAAGGGCUGGGACGGGAAGCCAGCCUGAAGGAUCACUGGUCUGCAGAAUCUCUGAAACGCCGCACGGUAUGGGGGGCAACGGCUUGCCCACAGCUUAGUCCUGCUGCCUAGAAAUGAUGCCUUGUGCCUCUGGCCUUCCGUCUGAGUCCAUCUUCCUCUUUCAUAACAAAGGGCCAGGUGUGUGGAGUCAUUUUCCCAGCCUGACUUCUGCUUGUGGUACUUUGGGCUUCCAGUGGCCUCUUUGCAUUAGAACCAUCUCUGUCCAGUUUAAUCUGAGCCCAAUUUGCUUAAAAGCCUGACUCUUAUUGAAGUUCACUCUGUGCGACAAAAGCUACACCCGUAAAUCUCUCUGAGAUAAGCCCUGGGAUGUCACCCUUAAGGUGGUCCAUCCAGUGACGUGAAACAGGAUCUGAGAGGCGUGCCCUCAGCAUCCUUGGCCUUUUGUCUGCUGGCACCUUUCUCUGAGGCGCUGAUUUACAUCUUUCUGAGACCUUCCUAAAGGGUUUUAUCGUGUAACCUCAGCCUCAUCGGUGAAAGUUAUUUUCUGGUGGAAUUCAUUAUUCUCUCUCCUAGAAGAGCAUUCAAUGACAAGUUUGUGAAAUUACUUUUUUCCCGAAACAACAAUUAGAGUAUGACCAAUCGUGUUCACAGUUCUUAUAUGGCAUGAGCUUGCAAAUGGGUAAGUCUUGGAUGAAUGUGUGAUGUCUUGAGAACUUGAUGAAAAUACAAAAAAUGUCCAGACCUGUGAGCUUACCAGAGCUGUGUUGGGUGCUCAGUCACUUUUUCAUGGACCCCUGUAUUCUCACUCAUGCAAAAGGCAUCUCACUUUCUCAUGUCUGCACACAGAAUUUUUUUUUUCUUUCUAGGGCCACAUCUGCAGCAUAAGGAAGUUCCUAGGCUAAGGGGUCAAAUAAGAGCUUCAGCUGCUGGCCUACACCACAGCCACGGCAAUACCGGAUGCUUAACCUACUGAGCAAGGUCAGAGAUCGAACUCGCAUCCUCAUGGACAGUAUAUAGCCUUCUUAACCCCUGAGCUACAGUGGGAACUCCCAGAAUUUCUUAUUAUCACAGCCAUUCUAGGUUCUUCCCUGUGAGCAUCUUUGCUGUAGACAUCUUAGUUAGAAACACUUUUUGGUCACAUAACUCAUUGGCCCUAAGGCAUUUUUGCCAUAGAAGAUAAAAUAAUGAAAGAUAAAAGAGGGGCACUAAAAAGGAGCUCUCGCUGUGGCCAGCAGGUUGAGGAUCCAGUGUGGUCUCUGAAGUGGCAAGGGUUUGAUCCCUGGCCUGGCGCAGUGGGUUAAGGAUUCAGUGUUUGUCACAGCUAUGGCUGGGAUUUGAUCCCUGGGCUGGGAACUUCCAUACAUCUCGAGUGUGGCCACAAAAGAAAAACAAAAAAAGGAUAAAAUGAACCAUGAGACAUGAAUAAAAAUUUCUUGCAAAAUACAAAAUGUUUGAAUACAUUUAAAAUGUUUAUAGCUUCAUGACAAUGCUGGGCAAAUAACUGAUUUUAUUUUCUGGGUUGUACCUAAGCACUUGGUCUUCCAGGUCUUUUAUUCAGAGUAUUUUGUACUUUUUUUAUUUUUUGCUUGUCGAGUCAUCAUUUUGACAUCACUCCUUUUCUUUUUUCACUAAAAUGUCUCACUUCAUUAGGAGAGGGAUCAGUUUCCACACACUCCGGUGGAUGUCUGUAUGAGCUGUACGUUGCGUUGUGAAAGCACACGGCUGUGUGUUCUUGGCUCAUUGUCACAUGUCUGCACAUAGGCAUUCCAAAGUUCUCUGGGAAAUGUGGGUUCACCCCUGGGCCUGGGAGGCCUUGGCCCCUUUCGUCUCCAGGGUUGUGGGUUUCAUAAUAAGAAGCCAACUCCUGGGGCAGCCCAUCGUCGUCUGUCCGCUCCAUAAAGCCCAUCACUGUCUGGAAAAAAUGCUAACACAUUUCAAUCAGUUGAAACCAAACAGCCAACCCUCAAACCAGUUAUUUUAUCUUUCACGGCUAAAAUGUCUUAUGACCAAUUAGUUAUGCAGUGAAAGUCCUUGUGGUGAAAAUGCUUGCAGCAAAGAUGCUUAUGGCGAAAAUACUGGACUGGGGUCCAGACUUACUUUGCGAACAUUUUUCAGUAUGCUGAAGCCUAAAAUCUAUGGGAUAAAUGGAAUAGGCUGAUUCACCGUAUUUUUCUAUAUGAUUUGUCCCUUUUUACAGUUAUAGACGAAACUUCCUUCUACUUUAAGCUUGACAGUACUUGUUUUGUUUGCCCUUUAUUUAUUGACUGUUUGUUUGAUUGAUCGAUUGUCUUUUUAGGGCUAUACCAGCAGCACAUGGAGGUUCCCAGCCUAGAAGCUGAAUUGGAGCUAUAGCUGCUGGCCUACGCCACAGCCACAGCAAUGCCAGAUCCGAGCUGCCUCUGUGACCUACAUCACAGUUCACUGCAGCACCACAUCCUUAACCCACUGAGCGAGGCCAGGGAUAAAACCUGCGUCCUCAGGGACACUAAUCGGGUUCCUUACCACUGAACCAAGACUGGAAUUUCCUGUUUGCCCUUUAUUUUUAAAUAUCAGACAUUUAGAAACAAGAGUUCCUUUCCCUUCUUUCUAGAAUCCCCGUCAUGUCCAGAGACAUGCACAUCGUCUCAGGUUGGGUUCCCCAGGAUCAGCAUGCAGGUGUCUCUUUGGGAUCAAAGUCUGGGGAGAGGAGGGAAGAGAAGGGGAGGGGAGUGGAGGGGAGGGACCCAUCCUGCUUCUCCUCUGCCCAGUCCUAUGAUACUGAACCAACAAAGGCCUCAGCUGAUCCCAUCUGAAGCUCUGAGGCCUCAGCCAGCCCCAUCUGAAACAUCCGAAGUUCUAAUGCCCUUUCAGAGUUGUCUGCGUUGGGGUGAAGGGGCUCUCUGCCUAACCCAGUACUGACCAGUCACCAGAUGUGUAUGACCAAGGAUGAGGUGGCACUCUUCAUCCAGGGCAGUGGGGGACACUGAUGGCCAGUGGUGUUCACUGCAGCUAGGCCAUGUGGUCUUCAGUCCCCGAGGUGCUGAAGGAUCUGGACAGCACAUCAGUGUCCACCACCUGUACCUAGAAUGCAGUGAGGUGGGGGCAGGCAGGGCGGAUCAUCUGCAUGUGGUCAUGGCUGAUCUCAGAGGGCAGAGCCUGUGGUCUCUUGGGUUGAUUUGUUUGUUUGAAUUAAUCAAGGAAGAAUCAUGUUCCUACCAUUGUGCAGGGAAUAAGACAGUGGUUUCCUUUCCACAAGAAUUAUAGGGAACUUGAAACACUUUGGACUGUUUUCCUCUAUUUCCUACAACUGAUAAAAAUUAUUUUCCUCUAGUAUGUUAGGAUGUCAUCAUAGCAACCAGCAUCCUGAGUUAUACUCAUUCUUCCCCUGGGACAGUGGGCCUCCCGUGUGUCUGGAGCACUCACCUGGCCUGGCGCUGUUGUUAUCCUCACAAGGUUGUUGUAUUCGUCUUAUCUCAUUUUCCUGGCAGAGCACCUGGCACUGGAAGGCACUGGCUAAAUGCCCAGUGGCUGACUCCUGAGUGCUGUCCCCCUGGUAGGGCACUGUUUUAUCUUCCUUCCUUCCUUCCUUCAUUCGGCCACUCUGAGUAGCUGUGGCUGCUCCUAAUUCUAAUCCCUAAUCUUACCAAGGUCUCUGGACCUGUUGCUGAUGCUGGUCCCUCUUCCAAAUACUCAUCCUUUUCCUGAUUUCUAUGAUUUCUACUCUAUUUUACUUGAGCUCUAGGGCUUCCUGCAUAACCUCUAUUUGAUCCCUCUGCCUAUUUCAGAGUAACACUUGAUUUUCAAGAACAGCUUUAGGAGUUCCCAUCGUGGCACAGUGGUUAACAAAUCCAACUAGGAACCGUGUGGUUGUGGGUUCGAUCCCUGCCCUUGCUCAGUGGGUUAAGGAUCCAGCAUUGGCAUGAACUGUGGUGCAGGUCGCAGACGCAGCUCAGAUCCCGCGUUGCUGUGGCUCUGGUGUAGGCCGUCGGCUACAGCUCCGAUUGUACCGCUAGCCUGGGAACCUCCAUAUGCCGUGGGAGCAGCUCAAGAAAAGAUUAAAAAAAAAAAUCAAUAACAACUUUAUAAUAUUUAAAGAAAAAAGAACAAAGCAACAGAGCAUGUUUAAACUAUGAACCUUUGGAAGGCCCCUUGGAAUUUAAUUAGUAUCUAGUUAUGCAGGAGAUGCUAUUUGAUUGGCAAAAUGCUCUUUAAGUUUGAUAGUAGAAGGGUGUUCUAGCCUAUUUGCUUGGUUAUCAUUUCUGAAGCCCAAAUCUAACUUAAUUAUAAAUGUGAAUUUAUUGGUUUAUAGAGUUGAGAGUGGAGGGGUGGAGUAUGGCUUCAGGCACAGUUGGAUCUAGAGGCUCAAAUCAAUGCCUCUUGGGCUCUGUGCCCCUUUCUAUGGCUCAGAUCGCUUCCCCUUAUGCUGUGGCUUCUUUCACAGGUGGAGUUUCUUCCUGUGGCAUGAGAUACAAUUAAUGAGAACCCUAAGCUUAUCCUUACCACAACUUAAGAUGGAAAAGAAGGAGAGACCUCCUUUCUCUCUUUCAGCAUCCCUUUUACACGUUUCAAGGGGAAAAUCACACACCCAAAUCCAAGUGAUGCACUGAUGCACCAUUACCAGGUCAUGGAGAAUUCUAAUUUGCCAGCCAGAGGCCUCUGCAUGCCUUGAUUGACAGGUUGACCCAGAUUCUGUGCAUCUGGAGAGUCCUCUUAGAGGAGGGAAUGUUGAGCAACCAAAGUAGCCUCUGUCAUCCAGGUGGGAGAGUGGCUCCUCACUUAGAGAUAUUUCAAGAGGGAAAUAGACAAAGCAGAAAUAGUCAAAAGCCUCUUAUCACAGCUUCAUUAGCUCUAGGAGUCGAAACUUGCAUCCAAAUAUAUUACCUUUCAGAGUCCUCUGGUGGUUCAGUGGGUUAAGGAUCUGGCAUUGUUACUGCUGUGGCUCAAGUUCAGUCCCUGGCCAGGAAAUUCCAAAUGCUCUGGGUACAACCAAACAAUAACAACAAUAGCAGCAACAACAACAACAAUACCCCCCCAAAAAAAAACCUUUCAAAAUACGAAGUCAUAAUAUACAUACUAUUAUAUAUAAAAUACAUAACCAACAAGGGCCUACUGUACAGCAUGGGGAACUACACUCAAUAUUUUGCAAUAACCUCAAAGGGAAAAGAAUCUUAAAAGAAUAUAUGUAUGUAUAUAUUUAUAUGUAUAACCGAAUCACUUUGCUAUACACCUGAAACUACCACUGCAUUGUAAAUUAACUAUAUACUUCAAUAAAAUUUUUUUAAAAAACUGAAAAAAAAAAGUAUGUAGACACAGGACUGCUUCAUGCUCACAUUGUAUUUACUGCCUUCAUUCUGAGGUGUUUGCCCCCUUCCAUUCCCUCCUCACUGGACUGCGAAUCUCUGCGUGUGCCCAGCCUGCAGGAGGCUUGCAUAAUGAUCUGCAAGAGAGGUGAGGAUUUUCUUUGCAGCCCUACUUAAAUAAGAAGAGUGUUUCAGAGUAAGACUGGCCAGGCAGCUCUGCGAGAUUUUUGUCUUUCUGUGGUCAGAUGAACCGGUACGAGAAAUGCUGAAUUUUGGAUAAACAACAAGGUCCUACUGUAGAGCACAGGGGACUGUAUUCAAUAUCCUGAGAUAAA
This 7021-nucleotide long non-coding RNA is filed under the name Sus scrofa (pig). RNAcentral describes it as "lncRNA (ENSSSCG00055000585.1)". The record is from RNAcentral. Lineage: Eukaryota; Metazoa; Chordata; Mammalia; Artiodactyla; Suidae.